AGAGCGCUGCAAAGGUUGUAAAAACUGAUAAAAACUGAAGUGAAGCGGGGAGGUGACUGGGAGGGUGGCGGGAGCAGUGAGUGAGAACCGGGGCGUUGAGUUGGGUGCUGCGCUGAGUCUCUCUCUAUUCUCCUCAUUUAUCGAAUACAACAAAAGGGAAAAAAGCCUAAAUAAACUCCAGGAGACAUGAGUACAUAAGAAAAAAAAAAGAAA
Long non-coding RNA from Scylla paramamosain (green mud crab), 213 nucleotides. RefSeq lists it as uncharacterized. The transcript is spliced from 2 exons. Lineage: Eukaryota; Metazoa; Arthropoda; Malacostraca; Decapoda; Portunidae. The record is from RefSeq and is a predicted model, not a curated record.